Long non-coding RNA from Prionailurus viverrinus (fishing cat), 2031 nucleotides. RefSeq lists it as uncharacterized. NCBI's taxonomy places the organism in Eukaryota, Metazoa, Chordata, Mammalia, Carnivora, Felidae. The record is from RefSeq and is a predicted model, not a curated record. The transcript is spliced from 3 exons.
UGGGUCCUAGGUGGAAUCCCCGAAAGGCGCACAACGAUUGGAGGAAAGCUGAGUCCGUCACGUGACGCCCACCGGGUGCGACGCCGAUCACGUGGUUACGGCGCGGGUCACGUGGGACUAGAAUCAACAGAUAUUUAGUGAUCCCGUAGCAUCUGCCAGGCACUACUCUAGGAGCCUGUAAUACGUUAGCGAAUGUGUGAAAGAAUCCGACCUCAUGGAGCUUCCAGUCUUGAGGAUUGGGAGGAAAAAGAGAGUGAAAAUUUUAUCCAUCCGGCUUGUCAGACCAAGAACCUUGAAGUCAUCGGACUUGACUUCUCUCACAUUCAGUCCGCCAGCAAAUACUUGAGGCUGUACCACUUCUCUCUGCCUUCACCACUGCCAGCCUGGGGCGAGCUACCGCCAUCGCCUCCCGGAACUGUUGCAGAAGCCUCCUACCCAGGAACGAGAGGGAUCGUUCAAAAAUGUAACUCACACCGUGUCACUGUGAUGAUCAGAAUCCACCAGUGAUUCGUCAUUUACUCAGAGUAAAACCCCAAAUCCCUGUAUAAAUCCAGUGCCAUUACCAUCUGCCGCUUCCCUCUCCAUUGUACUCUGCGACUCACUGCAUUCUACCCACACGGGCCUCCCUGUGUUUCCAGGACAUAGGAAGUUCCUUUCUCUGGUCCUUUGCUGUUUCUUUCCUGCAACACUUUCUCUCCUUUUAUCCACUUGGCUUAGUCCUCACCUCAUUCAAGCCUUUGCUCACAUGUCACCUUCCCAGUGAGGCCACCUCUGACCUCCUCAGUUAAGCCUGCCCAUCCGCCACCCACCUCAUCUCCCCGCUCCUUACUUCAUUGUCCUGCAUAGAAUUUUCACCAGCCAUUGAGCCAUAUAGUUUCCUUAUUUACUCAGUACUGUCUUUCCCUCACUAGAAUGUAGGAUCCAUGAACACAGUAUUUGUAUUGUUUUGUCCAGCGCUAUGCUCCUAGCUUCUAGGAUAGUGCCUGGCUUCCAGGAGGCAUUCCAUUAAAACCUGUCAAAUGGAUUAAGCACAUGAUUUCUCCAGGGAGCCAGAGAUGCAGACUGACAUUUACUGCAGAGAGUGAUUAGUCUCGUAAGAUGGGAAGGAAACCUAAGCUCAGAGGAGACAGAUCCAGGGAAGGAUCUCAGAGCAUCUGAUGUUUGACCUACAGUUUAGAGGAUGAGCAAGCGUUAGCAAGAGAAGGGACUUGGGGGACAUUCCGGGAAGUGAGGACGGCAACAGCAAAGAAAAACGGAGAAGAGAAACAGUUGGCGAACAGGGCGUCGGGCAUUCAACAACAUUAAUUGAGCACCACCUGUGUGCCGCAGCCCGCAGGAGCAACUUGAAUGAAAACAGAUGAGGCCCCUAUUCUAGUGGGUUGGACAUGAACAGUUAGCAAAAGAAAACAAAAACAAUCCCCUUGGGUAGUGGUAAGUGCAGUGUCGAUGAUAAAACUGUGAUCCGGUGGGGAGUGAGGUGCCGGUCAGUGCGGACCUCUCUAAAGGGCUGUCAGUCAAGAUUGCUAGGCCCCAGAGUCACGCAGUGCCUUUUUUCUUGGUCCGCGUGGCCCCAGAGGCAUGCAGGGCUUCAGGAUGGCUUCGUCUGAGAACUCGACAUGUCACCAACAACGAAGUUUCUGUCUUUCCACUCUAGCCUCCUCGUGGUUACCUUCCUCCUACAUUAGGGUGGGCUCUUCUCGUGAUCACAGGACGGCUGCCCCCAGCUCUAGGACCUACAUGUGUCCCAGGCCAUGUCCAAGGAGAAAAAUGUCUUCCCCGGCCGUGGGAUUCCCUCAGAGUGAACCGUUAUGGGGCAUGUGUCUCUGCCUCAGCCAAUGCCUGUGGUCAGCAGGGAGAGGAAGAAAUGGCCGUUGAGGCAGCCAGGACGGCCACUGCAGGAGAUGACAUGUGACCUGAGACCCGAAUGAAGAGAUAAAUGAGUGGAUAAAGAAGAUGGGGUGCAAACACGCAAUGGAAUAUUACUUAGCCAUGAAAAAGAACGAAAGCUUGCUAUUUGCAACAACACGGAUA